AUGGAGCAGCCCAUGGACAAUGAUUGCUUCAACACCGCCGUGCUUAUGCUGGCAUAUGUGACGAGGGAGUAUUGUUCACAGACCCUCCUAUACACUACAUGGAUCUACGAUUUUUCCAUGCUGCUAGAGUCAACACGAGGUCAGAAGUUUUGUGAGAAGGAAACUAUCCAGACGUUGGCAGCAUUAUUUGAUUGCUGGCCUGGGAUGGAGACCGACAUCUCAUCUUGCAAUAAGGAAUGUGUCUGGCUAUUUUGUUUUUCAUUUUAUGCUCCGGUGGAACGGAUGGGAAUCUUUUGGCCACUCGAGGUGGGGGGAAGGAGAAGGGAGGGCUGUAUCAAUCGCGACCGUUGGUUGGAUGAGCAUCCUGGAUUGCACGGCGAGGUGGUGAACGGCAUGAGAACCUCACGUGGCGGCUUCAUCGUAAUUGCUGGGAUGGGCGAUGGGCCGCGUGGAAGAUGA
Molecule: ribosomal RNA, 459 nt
Filed under: Triticum aestivum (bread wheat)
Lineage: Eukaryota; Viridiplantae; Streptophyta; Magnoliopsida; Poales; Poaceae
Description: partial small subunit ribosomal RNA
Source: RNAcentral